RNAcentral lists this long non-coding RNA (122 nucleotides) under Piliocolobus tephrosceles (Ugandan red Colobus). Its description in RNAcentral is "lncRNA (ENSPTEG00000025470.1)". Lineage: Eukaryota; Metazoa; Chordata; Mammalia; Primates; Cercopithecidae. The record is from RNAcentral.
CCUUACAAUUUCAACUCUUCCUUGGAGGAAAAUGAGAAGUGCCAGUGGACCAUUUGGCUGAUCACGUCACUCUAUAGAUGAACUUCUACCACAUUUGAGCGCCCACAUUGAAGACAAAAAUU